CCUACGGGUGGCAGCAGUGGGGAAUAUUGGACAAUGGGCGAAAGCCUGAUCCAGCCAUGCCGCGUGUGUGAAGAAGGCCUUCGGGUUGUAAAGCACUUUCAGUGGGGAAGAAAGCCUUGGGGCUAAUACCCUCGAGGAAGGACAUCACCCACAGAAGAAGCACCGGCUACUCCGUGCCAGCAGCCGCGGUAAUACGGAGGGUGCGAGCGUUAAUCGGAAUUACUGGGCGUAAAGCGCGCGUAGGCGGUCUGAUAAGCCGGUUGUGAAAGCCCCGGGCUCAACCUGGGAACGGCAUCCGGAACUGUCAGGCUAGAGUGCAGGAGAGGAAGGUAGAAUUCCCGGUGUAGCGGUGAAAUGCGUAGAGAUCGGGAGGAAUACCAGUGGCGAAGGCGGCCUUCUGGACUGACACUGACGCUGAGGUGCGAAAGCGUGGGUAGCAAACAGGAUUAGAUACCCUAGUAGUC
Molecule: ribosomal RNA, 464 nt
Filed under: Vreelandella stevensii
Lineage: Bacteria; Pseudomonadati; Pseudomonadota; Gammaproteobacteria; Oceanospirillales; Halomonadaceae
Description: partial 16S ribosomal RNA
Rfam family: Bacterial small subunit ribosomal RNA
Source: RNAcentral